RNAcentral lists this ribosomal RNA (484 nucleotides) under uncultured bacterium. RNAcentral describes it as "partial 16S ribosomal RNA". It matches the Rfam family "Bacterial small subunit ribosomal RNA", at positions 30 to 507 of the family's 1533-position model. The record is from RNAcentral.
AUCGAACGCUGGCGGCAGGCCUAACACAUGCAAGUCGAGCGGAAGAAGGGAGCUUGCUCCUGGCUUCAGCGGCGGACGGGUGAGUAAUGCCAAGGAAUCUGCCUGGUAGUGGGGGAUAACGACCGGAAACGGGAGCUAAUAUCGCAUAAGACCUGAGGGUGAAAGUGGGGGAUCGUUGGAGAACUCGCUAUAAGAUGAGACUAGGCCGGCUUAGCUAGUUGGUGGGGUAAAGAACUACCAAGGCAACGCUCGGCAACUGGUCUGGUAGGAUGAUUAGUCACACUAGAACUGAGACACGGACCAGAGUCCUAAGGGAGGGAGCAGUGGCGAAUAUUCGGCAAUUGGCGAAAACCUGAUCCAGCCAUGCCGCUUGUGUUGAGAAGGACUUCGGAUUGUUAAGCACUGUUAGUAUGGAGAAAAGGCAUUUGGUUUAGACCAAGCUUUUGUGACGUUACCUACAAAAUAAGCUCCGGCUAACUACGUG